GACACAUUGGAGAAGACCACGUGGCCUUAAACCAACUGCUGCAACUCUGUGUGCAGGAUGAUUCUGUGGGUUCAAGUCACCCAGCACCUAUGCUGCAACCAAAAGUGCCUCCUGUCGCUUUGUAUCAAAGGACCUUUGUCAUGAUCUCAUUCACAAUAUUGGUGGUCCCUGAGAGUGGAGCAGUGGAGUGAUUGACGUGCCUGAGUUUGAAGAGAGUUAACCACUGGAAUCUCUCAUGUUUUAUUCCCUCCAAAAUGCUGCAGUUCAGUGUUGUCCCAGAUUUUAUGCUUUUGCUUAGAUUUCUCUGUUCUCUAAGUUGUUAACAGUUUGUCUUUAAUAUUUCCCAGGCUUUCUUGAUCAUGGAUAGUGAAGAUAUACCAGAUUUUUCAAGUUUAAAGGAGGAAACUGCUUAUUGGAAGGAACUUUCCUUGAAGUACAAGCAAAGAGUUUACUAAGUCUUAUCAAACCUUUUACUGCCCUUUCAUUAUUAUCACCGAAGUCAGUUAUUCUAUUGUGCCAGUGGAUAUGAAAGCUUCCAGGAAGCUCGGGAUGAGCUAGUUGAAUUCCAG
RNAcentral lists this small RNA (569 nucleotides) under Pongo abelii (Sumatran orangutan). RNAcentral describes it as "processed transcript". Lineage: Eukaryota; Metazoa; Chordata; Mammalia; Primates; Hominidae. The record is from RNAcentral.